CCUACGGGUGGCAGCAGUGAGGAAUAUUGGUCAAUGGACGAGAGUCUGAACCAGCCAAGUAGCGUGAAGGAUGACUGCCCUAUGGGUUGUAAACUUCUUUUAUAUGGGAAUAAAACAGGGUAUGCAUACCCUCUUGUAUGUACCAUAUGAAUAAGGAUCGGCUAACUCCGUGCCAGCAGCCGCGGUAAUACGGAGGAUCCGAGCGUUAUCCGGAUUUAUUGGGUUUAACGGGAGCGGAGGUGGAUUGUUAAGUCAGUUGUGAAAGUUUGUGGCUCAACCGUAGAAUUGCAGUUGAAACUGGCAGUCUAGAGUACAGUAGAGGUGGGCGGAAUGCGUGGUGUAGCGGUGAAAUGCUUAGAUAUCACGAAGAACUCCGAUUGCGAAGGCAGCUCACUGGACUGCAACUGACGCUGAUGCACGAAAGUGUGGGUAGCAAACAGGAUUAGAUACCCGAGUAGUC
Molecule: ribosomal RNA, 460 nt
Filed under: uncultured bacterium
Lineage: Bacteria
Description: partial 16S ribosomal RNA
Rfam family: Bacterial small subunit ribosomal RNA
Source: RNAcentral